CUCAAGGGGCUAUUCGCGAUUGCCCCGUGAGGCGACAGCCCAAAGAUCGCGUCCUAACUCCCGAAAAACAGGAGCUUGGACGCCAUG
Regulatory RNA element from Pannonibacter phragmitetus, 87 nucleotides. It matches the Rfam family "chrB-a RNA". The record is from Rfam. Lineage: Bacteria; Pseudomonadati; Pseudomonadota; Alphaproteobacteria; Hyphomicrobiales; Stappiaceae.